CCAAUGGGCGAAAGCCUGACCCAGCAACGCCGCGUGGGGGAUGAAAGCCCUUGGGUUUUAAACCCCUUUUCCCAGGGAAGAAUAAUGACGGUACCUGGGGAAUAAGCCCCGGCUAACUACGUGCCAGCAGCCGCGGUAAUACGUAGGGGGCGAGCGUUAUCCGGAUUUACUGGGCGUAAAGAGGACGUAGGCGGCUUUUCAAGUCGGAUGUGAAAUUUCCCGGCUCAACCGGGACGAGUCAUUCGAUACUGUUGGGCUAGAGGAUAGCAGGGGGAGACGGAAUUCCCGGUGUAGUGGUGGAAUACGUAGAUACCGGGAGGAACACCAGAGGCGAAGGCGGUCUCCAAGGCUAUUUCUGACGCUGAGGUCCGAAAGCGUGGGUAGCAAACAGACUUAGAUACUCUGGUAGUCCACGCUGUAAACGAUGGACACUAGGUAUAGGGAGCAUCGACCCUCUUUGUGCCGAAGCUAACGCCUUAAGUGUCCCGCCUGGGGACUACGGCCGCAAGGCUAAAACUCAAAGGAAUUGACGG
Molecule: ribosomal RNA, 533 nt
Filed under: uncultured bacterium
Lineage: Bacteria
Description: bacterial SSU rRNA
Rfam family: Bacterial small subunit ribosomal RNA
Source: RNAcentral